Molecule: long non-coding RNA, 1430 nt
Filed under: Strigops habroptila (Kakapo)
Lineage: Eukaryota; Metazoa; Chordata; Aves; Psittaciformes; Psittacidae
Description: lncRNA (ENSSHBG00005014516.1)
Source: RNAcentral
UGUAUUACAAGUGUAAUAUCAUUGCAAGAACAUUAGCAAUAAUUAACAUGCACUCUCAGAAAGGACUGAAACAUGCACAUAUUACUUUUUAUCCCGAGUCACUGUUGAGCAUGAAAACACAGUAACUGGAAAUUGAGCUCUGUAGAACUACUGGUAACAUCCUUCACCAUAUCGAUCACUCACUACUUUUAUUGAUCCAGAUGAAAAAAAAGAAAAAUCUUCAUUUUUUUCUUCUGUCAUUCUCCCAGUGUAACCAAAUGUAAGUGUCACAAAUCUACCCAAAAUGCUCAAACUACUGAGAUGGAGAUACAAACCAGCAUUUCAUAUGAAGACAACAGAGUUAACAACAAACCCUCCGGAGAACGAAGCUCUGUUGGAAUAGAAACUUCUACCCUAAAAGACAGAGAUGGGGUCUGCACGUGAGGCACAGCUGAUGUAUGACACACAGUGAUGAGCAGAUGUACACAGUGACAUUCAGGCUACACAGUGGAGUGAGACCAGAAAAACAUCCCCAUAAGUAAUGGAUAAAAGAAAAAAAGAGGGUUUUUUCCUUCCUAGUAAUAACUAUUGAGAACUUCUAUACAGGCACUUUAGAACCUGUCAGAAACAACUACAGUUCCUGUCUUGCACAGACAAAGCACUUCACUUGGAGCAACGUUCGUGAGCACCAUGUCUGAUAUCAAGUCCUGGUGGAUAAUGGGAGGUAGAAAAGCAGCCAAAAAGGAUGAGACACACUAAAUAACCCCUUUUCACAAAACAGACAAGGGAGAAAUUACCCAAGCCUCUAACCAAAGACACUUUCAGGAUUACGUGCUUUGUCACCUGUAUCAUUGUUUCUCUCACUCCCCUCCAGACUUGCCCUGUUCCUUCAGCAAAGUUCUUUGUGUUGAAAAUAAAGCAGCCUCAUUUUUGUAGUGGUAUGCAUUUCAUUGAAACCUCAGAACUUUUACUCCACCCCACAUAAAGAGAGGCAUGCCUGAAGUGACAUAUACAUGCUUUUAAGUCUUGAUUUAAUUUAUGCAUCUCCUGAACUCUGCUGACUGUUUCUAAACACUUUACUAACAAGGUAAAAACAAUGUCUUAUCACCACUGAGAAAUCUCUCAUUUCACCUGAAAAUCCAAUCAGCUGCAAAUCAUUGACAGAAUUUUGCUGUCUGCUAAGAUGAAAGGAAAUGUGACCCCCACCAAACCAGAGGAAAACAUCUUCAUUAUCCAGCAAGUUAAAGAAGAAGAUGGUAAAGCACAGGGUAAAGUAUAUGCUGAACAAACCAGGGGUUUGACCCCAGCCUAUAACACAUAGACUCUUGAGACACACCUCUUCUCAGUUUUCAGCUUUGCUAAGGAAAAUUAAAGGCUUUCCCUUACUCUUUGCAUCCAACCUCACUUAAUCUGAUAUUUAAGACUUCUAGUUCACCCUUCUCAUCUACAGA